CCUACGGGAGGCAGCAGUGAGGAAUAUUGGACAAUGGGCGCAAGCCUGAUCCAGCCAUGCCGCGUGCAGGAAGACAGCCCUACGGGUUGUAAACUGCUUUUAUACGGGAAGAAUAAGGGGUACGUGUACCCCGAUGACGGUACCGUAAGAAUAAGGACCGGCUAACUCCGUGCCAGCAGCCGCGGUAAUACGGAGGGUCCAAGCGUUAUCCGGAAUCAUUGGGUUUAAAGGGUCCGCAGGCGGGCAAUUAAGUCAGGGGUGAAAUGGUGCGGCUCAACCGUAGCACUGCCUUUGAUACUGGUUGUCUUGAGUUAUGGUGAAGUGGCCGGAAUAUGUAGUGUAGCGGUGAAAUGCAUAGAUAUUACAUAGAACACCGAUUGCGAAGGCAGGUCACUAACCAUGGACUGACGCUGAUGGACGAAAGCGUGGGGAGCGAACG
RNAcentral lists this ribosomal RNA (439 nucleotides) under uncultured Zeaxanthinibacter sp. RNAcentral describes it as "bacterial SSU rRNA". It matches the Rfam family "Bacterial small subunit ribosomal RNA", at positions 338 to 774 of the family's 1533-position model. The record is from RNAcentral. Lineage: Bacteria; Pseudomonadati; Bacteroidota; Flavobacteriia; Flavobacteriales; Flavobacteriaceae.